This 512-nucleotide ribosomal RNA is filed under the name Synopsyllus fonquernii. Its description in RNAcentral is "partial 16S ribosomal RNA". The record is from RNAcentral. Lineage: Eukaryota; Metazoa; Arthropoda; Insecta; Siphonaptera; Pulicidae.
GUCUUUUUGAUUUUUAUAAAAAGUCUAAUCUGCCCAUUGAAAAUAUUUAAAAGGCCGCAGUAUUUUGACUGUGCAAAGGUAGCAUAAUCAAUAGUUUUUUAAUUGAAAGCUGGAAUGAAGGAUUGGAUGAAAUAAAAUCUGUCUUUAUUUAAAUGUAUUAAAAUUUAAUUUUUAUGUUAAAAAGCAUAAAUAUUUUUAAAGGACGAGAAGACCCUUUAAAGCUUUAUAUUUAAAAAUUUAUAGUUAUUAUAUAGAAGAUUAUAUUAAUAUAAGUUUAAAUAUUUUAUUGGGGUGAUAGGAAAAUAAAAUAAACUUUUUUUUAAAAAAAAACAAUAAUUUAUGAAUAAUUGAUCCAUAAUUUAUGAUUAAAAGAAUAAGUUACUUAAGGGAUAACAGCGUAAUAGUUUUUAAGAGAACAUAUCGACAAAAUUGAUUGCGACCUCGAUGUUGGAUUAAGAUUAUUAUUAAAUGUAGAAGUUUAAUUAUUAGGUCUGUUCAACCAUUAGUUCUUA